GGCGAGUGAAGCGGCAAUAGCUCAAAUUUGAAAUCUGGCACCCUCGGUGUCCGAGUUGUAAUUUGAAGAAGGUAUCUUUGGUUUUGGCUCUUGUCUAUGUUCCUUGGAACAGGACGUCACAGAGGGUGAGAAUCCCGUGCGAUGAGAUGCCCAAUUCCAUGUAAAGUUCCUUCGACGAGUCGAGUUGUUUGGGAAUGCAGCUCUAAGUGGGUGGUAAAUUCCAUCUAAAGCUAAAUAUUGGCGAGAGACCGAUAGCGAACAAGUACUGUGAAGGAAAGAUGAAAAGAACUUUGAAAAGAGAGUGAAAAAGUACGUGAAAUUGUUGAAAGGGAAGGGCUUGAGGUCAGACUUGGUUUUACCAGGCCAGCAUCAGUUUGGACGGCAGGAGAAUAACUAAGGAAAGUGGCUCCGCUUCGGGGGAGUGUUAUAGCCUUUGUUGAUACUGCCUGUCUAGACUGAGGACUGCGUCUUUGACUAGGAUGCUGGCAUAAUGACCUUAAGCCGCCCGUC
Molecule: ribosomal RNA, 510 nt
Filed under: Yamadazyma sp. TO77.4.1a
Lineage: Eukaryota; Fungi; Ascomycota; Pichiomycetes; Serinales; Debaryomycetaceae
Description: eukaryotic LSU rRNA
Rfam family: Eukaryotic large subunit ribosomal RNA
Source: RNAcentral